RNAcentral lists this ribosomal RNA (440 nucleotides) under uncultured bacterium. RNAcentral describes it as "bacterial SSU rRNA". It matches the Rfam family "Bacterial small subunit ribosomal RNA", at positions 338 to 768 of the family's 1533-position model. The record is from RNAcentral.
CCUACGGGUGGCAGCAGUGGGGAAUAUUGCGCAAUGGACGAAAGUCUGACGCAGCGACGCCGCGUGUGGGAGGAAGCUCUUCGGGGUGUAAACCACUGUCAGGAGGGAAGAACGGCGCUGACUCGAACAGGGUCUAGCGAUUGACGGUACCUCCAAAGGAAGCGCCGGCUAACUCCGUGCCAGCAGCCGCGGUAAGACGGAGGGCGCAAGCGUUGUUCGGAAUUACUGGGCGUAAAGCGCGGGCAGGCGGUCUGUUAAGUCGUUUGUGAAAAUCCGGGGCUCAACCCCGGAAAUGCGUACGAUACUGGCAGGCUGGAGACCGGUAGAGGCUGGCGGAAUUCCUGGUGUAGCGGUGGAAUGCGUAGAUAUCAGGAAGAACACCUGUGGCGAAGGCGGCUAGCUGGGCCGGGUCUGACGCUCAUCCGCGAAAGCGUGGGGAG